RNAcentral lists this non-coding RNA (22 nucleotides) under Arabidopsis thaliana (thale cress). Lineage: Eukaryota; Viridiplantae; Streptophyta; Magnoliopsida; Brassicales; Brassicaceae. The record is from RNAcentral.
UCGUCAAAUAGUCGUCACUUGC